Molecule: long non-coding RNA, 318 nt
Organism: Sinocyclocheilus grahami
Lineage: Eukaryota; Metazoa; Chordata; Actinopteri; Cypriniformes; Cyprinidae
Exons: 3
Source: RefSeq, a predicted model, not a curated record
AGAAGAAGAAGACGCUAUCUCGCAGGGUUCAAAACCAGAAAAUACCUUCACGUUACGGCCUGAAAUCAAGUCUCAUCUAGCAGGAAAAGAAGCAGAAAAGCCUGUAAAAUGAGUGUGUAUGAGGAGAGAGAGCAGGAGUCUUCUGUUGACACUCAGAGAGCAGCAUCUCCAGGAUUCAGCUGUGUGUCUAUGAAGAGUAACAACUCCAUGAUUAUUCCUCCUGAUCUCAGUGAUGUUGACGCUCAGAGAGCAGCAUCUCCAGGAUUCAGCUGUGUUUCUAUGAAGAGCAACAACUCCAUGCAUCAGCCCCCUAAAUUC